Molecule: long non-coding RNA, 2948 nt
Filed under: Homo sapiens (human)
Lineage: Eukaryota; Metazoa; Chordata; Mammalia; Primates; Hominidae
Description: HSALNT0085263
Source: RNAcentral
CUAUGUCCUUAAGAAAAAAAAAAGUCAGUGCACUGUAAAAAUGUCUCCCUCUAGCACCACCAAACUUUUUCUCUCUAUACCUUUAUGACGUAAAUUUUGCUAUUUGAUUUUCAUCGGAGUGUUUCUUUUAAUAUGCAAAUUUAAGGCUAUUUAGCUGACAACUGCCUAGAGUUGUAAAACAGGCUAUCAAGUAUCUGAAAGUCUAAGAUAGAAGAAAAAAAGUGGGAGGGGUUCUUUAUGAAUCUAUAAAAUGUACUUCCAUUGGCAGGCCUAAUAAAUUUGUGUAUGUAUUUAUGUGUUGUGUACAGAAUGUUUCACUACUAAAAAUAUGUAAAAGAGUUCUAAUUAAUUGGCUUAAAGAAAAAUAAAAUCAGUAAAUUAGAUACUAAAAAAGACUAGUCAAAGGCAUCGUCAAGUUUAUGUAACUUAAGUAAAAUCUUUAAUAAGUAAGCUAGCUUUAAAAUUAUUGCUAAAGUAAUAUUACAAAUGUUUUAAGAAUUUCCAGCAUACAUUUCUGUUUGCAUUUAUUAAUCAAGCAAUUUCAUACUCAUCCCUGCCAAAUACUAUAAAGUCUCAAAAUUUGGCACAGGGGUUAGAAAACUAUGAACCCAGCCCAAAUCAAAAUGAUCUUUGCUUAUGUCAUUUUUAAUAAAUAAAACAUUGAUAUGGCUUUAAUGAAAAUAGCUGCAUCUUGAAUUUAGUAAGAUUACCAUAACUUCUAAUCCAUAACGUCUAAUAGACUGCUUUAGGCAGUCUAGUCCACAGACAAUAAUGAAAUUUGUUUUGGGAAAGGAAUGUUGUCACCUUUUGUUCAAAGCUAAAUAAUAAACUAAGUUCCUCCCAAAGUUAGUUCCGUCUAUGCCCAGGCGUGAACAAGGAUGGCUUGGAGGUUAUGAGCACGAUGGAGCCAGUUAUGUCAAAUCUUUUUUUCAUUGUCUUUGUUAUAAUUUUGCAAUGGUGAUUUCAGAACUUCAAAUUAUAACUAUCACAGUUUUCAUAAAUAAUCUAGGUAAAUAAUUAAAAUAAAAUAAUUAGGCAAAUAUAAUGGGAUAAAUACUUGUAGACAAACUGGUUAUAAUUUAGAAUAUAAAGUUACAUUAAAUUAAAUAAUAAUAUUCCAUUAUUUGGGUGUUUGGGUGUUUUCUAAUAAAUAUAUAUUGUAGGAAAACAUUCUUGCUAAAUAAAAGAAAAUGAAAAUGUAUGUUUUUUUUUCCAAAAAAAAAAAAAAAAAGGUGAACAAAUUUUGUCUGAUUAAAAGCUCAUUUAAGGGUUAUGUAUAAAACAAGGUAAAAGGAACCAGGAAAAAAAAUGCGAAGAAAGUUAUAAAAAUAAAGAGGUAUUUUUUUGAGGUAUAAAAGCUUAAAGAAAAAAUAAUUUUGUAUAAGAAAGAAUCUUGUAUGGUAAAUUUAGUCCUAAAAUAAAAUAAUGGUUGUUUAAAAAGGAUGGAUAUUCAGAACAAAUCAGAAAGCCCCACCGUGUCAUGAACAGUCAGUGUAAGUCACAAUAAGAGGAUUUAUACAUAUGUGAAAAAAACUUUUAUAAUUGUCCUAUUAUUAUUAAGUUUUGUUUUGCUUAGGAAAAAAAACUGAGAUUUUUUUUAAAGUUAAGGUUAUUACAUUUAUGCAUCUUCCUGUAUACGUUUUUAGAGUCUUUGUAACAUUGAGUUCCAGGGCUUUUGAUUCUUGGGUCUAAAAAGGACACCAAGUUCUGCUAAAUCUUAAACACUGAUAGCAAUUAAAUUCUCAUCUUCAGGCCCCCUAGAAGAUGCCAAUCAAAAUAAACUGCAUUCUUGAGACACAGGGCAAGAAAUUAAAGCUAUCCACCUCCUCAAGGCCCAGGGACUACGUGGAAGAGACAUCGAGUCAUGAAUAUGGAAUGACUUCACCUGACUUCACUUGAAAUUCACUUAAUUUUCAACUCUGUUGGCUAUGAGAAAAGGACAUCCAGGCCUCACACAAAAAUGGAUCAAUGAAUUGAAACUCACCAAAUCACCACCACCAGACAACGGGAUGCUGAGUCUCAUUCAUCAUGAUUGCUUCCUGAAGCCUUCUGAGUUCCUGUUUCCCUACACAUUGUUACAUUUCUUCCCUGCAACAUAAACCCCCAAUUUUAGUCCAUCAAGGUUAUAGAUUUGAGACUGAUCUCCCAUUUCCUUGGCUGCAACACCCAAUUAUAGCCUUCUUGGCAAUAAUUGUUGUCUCAGUGAUUGGCUUUCUUUGUGGCCAGCAGCAGGACCUAGACUGAACACCUGAUUUUCUGGUAACAGUAUAAUUUUUCUUCUUUUGUCUAUUGUGGUAGGUUACAUUGUUUGAUUUUUAAAUUAAACUGGCACUGCAUAGCUAGAGUAAAUGUGACUUUGUUGUGUUAAUUUUUAUAUGUUGUUGAAUUUGAUUUUCUUGUGUUAUGUUGAGAAUUUUACAUAUAUCUUUAUAAGAGAUAUUUGCUCGUAAUUAUCUUUUUGUAAAAUAUCUCUGUUUUUGCUAUGAAGGUUAUAAAAGUAAUUUUGGGAGUGCUCCCUAUUUUCUAUUAGAGAAUGAGGGAACUGGUACCAAUACUACCUUAAAUGUUCAAUAGAAUUCACAUUCGAAAUUAUCUAGGACUGGUUAUCUUUUGAGAAAAGUUGUUAAACAUUAUUCAGUGUCUUUAAUAGAUAUAGGCCUGUUCAGUUUAUCUAUUUCUCCCCAUGUGAUCAAUGGAAAUUUGUGUCUUUCACGUGAUUUUUCUAUUUCUUCUAAGUCAUCAACUUGUUGAUAUAAAGUUAUUCACAAUAUUCUUAUCCCUUCAAUGUUCAAAGAUUGUUAUUAAUAUUCAUGAAACUGGUAGUACUGAUCUUGCUUUCUUUUUUGAUAUUGUAUUGCACAUCUUUUCUCUUUUCAUGUUCAUUAAUUUGUGUGGAGGUUUAUCAAUUGUAUUCAUUUUAUUAAAGGACAAGUUUCUGGUUUUAUUAA